This 465-nucleotide ribosomal RNA is filed under the name uncultured Veillonella sp. RNAcentral describes it as "bacterial SSU rRNA". It matches the Rfam family "Bacterial small subunit ribosomal RNA", at positions 338 to 795 of the family's 1533-position model. Lineage: Bacteria; Bacillati; Bacillota; Negativicutes; Veillonellales; Veillonellaceae. The record is from RNAcentral.
ACUACGGGAGGCAGCAGUGGGGAAUCUUCCGCAAUGGACGAAAGUCUGACGGAGCAACGCCGCGUGAGUGAUGACGGCCUUCGGGUUGUAAAGCUCUGUUAAUCGGGACGAAAGGCCUUCUUGCGAAUAGUUAGAAGGAUUGACGGUACCGGAAUAGAAAGCCACGGCCAACGACGUGCCAGCAGCCGCGGUAAUACGUAGGUGGCAAGCGUUGUCCGGAAUUAUUGGGCGUAAAGCGCGCGCAGGCGGACUGGUCAGUCUGUCUUAAAAGUUCGGGGCUUAACCCCGUGAUGGGAUGGAAACGGCCAAUCUAGAGUAUCGGAGAGGAAAGUGGAAUUCCUAGUGUAGCGGUGAAAUGCGUAGAUAUUAGGAAGAACACCAGUGGCGAAGGCGACUUUCUGGACGAAAACUGACGCUGAGGCGCGAAAGCCAGGGGAGCGAACGGGAUUAGAUACCCCUGUAGUC